RNAcentral lists this transfer RNA (90 nucleotides) under Monodelphis domestica (gray short-tailed opossum). It matches the Rfam family "tRNA". Rfam says of the family: Transfer RNA (tRNA) molecules are approximately 80 nucleotides in length. Their secondary structure includes four short double-helical elements and three loops (D, anti-codon, and T loops). Further hydrogen bonds mediate the characteristic L-shaped molecular structure. tRNAs have two regions of fundamental functional importance: the anti-codon, which is responsible for specific mRNA codon recognition, and the 3' end, to which the tRNAs corresponding amino acid is attached (by aminoacyl-tRNA synthetases). tRNAs cope with the degeneracy of the genetic code in two manners: having more than one tRNA (with a specific anti-codon) for a particular amino acid; and 'wobble' base-pairing, i.e. permitting non-standard base-pairing at the 3rd anti-codon position. The record is from Rfam by way of RNAcentral. Lineage: Eukaryota; Metazoa; Chordata; Mammalia; Didelphimorphia; Didelphidae.
CCUUCGAUAGCUCAGCUGGUAGAGCGGAGGACUGUAGUGUGUGCUUCUGUAGGAAUCCUUAGGUCGCUGGUUCGAUUCCGGCUCGAAGGA